This 381-nucleotide ribosomal RNA is filed under the name uncultured marine Chaetocerotaceae. Its description in RNAcentral is "SSU rRNA". It matches the Rfam family "Eukaryotic small subunit ribosomal RNA", at positions 587 to 972 of the family's 1831-position model. Lineage: Eukaryota; Bacillariophyta; Thalassiosirophyceae; Chaetocerotales; Chaetocerotaceae. The record is from RNAcentral.
AGCCCCAAUAGCGUAUAUUAAAGUUGCUGCAGUUAAAAAGCUCGUAGUUGCAUUUCCGAGGCAAGGGAUUAGUCCGACCUUUGGUGGGUAUUUAAUCCUCUUGCCUCGUCCUUGAGUGGUGCUUCUUGGUAUUAAGUUAUCGAGGAGAUAGCCGCUCAUCGUUUACUGUGAGAAAAUUAGAGUGUUCAAAGCAGGCUUAUGCCGUUGAAUAUAUUAGCAUGGAAUAAUAAGAUAGGACCUCGGUACUAUUUUGUUGGUUUGAGAACCAAGGUAAUGAUGAAUAGGGACAGUUGGGAGUAUUCGUAUUCAGUUGUCAGAGGUGAAAUUCUUAGAUUUACGGAAGACGAACUACUGCGAAAGCAUUUACCAAGGAUGUUUUCA